AUGUCAUGGCCACUUGUCUCUCUAUAUAAAGGGAGUGAUGGGUGGGCUGCUUUGGAUACAUGGACCUGGGGUGAAGGAGGGGGACAGCAGACAGAGGCUGCUGUUGCAACAAGACCCCUGGGGCUGGCCAGAAUUGGGAAAUGUAAGAAGAUGGUGCAGGCUUGUAGAUGUAAGUGUUCAUCGUGCCAUCUGAAGGAUUUACUACAGAGAAAAAAAGCAAGGAAAUUAUGCCAGAAAAAGAACAGGAAGACAAGUCAGCAGCAUACGCCAAUGCUCUGGUUGAAGACACUGCUUGACGUCAUGCUUUUCCAUGUCCUGUUUUCUUCCACGGCCAGCAAAAAGAAAAGCCUAUUUUGUGGCCGGCCCAAGACCACCAUAAUCAUCUUUGAUUUUACUUCUCUGCCCCCGGGUCUCUAAGUAAAAUCUGUCUCCUUUCACUGACAAAUGGUGUUUUGUGUGUUUUUGCUUAGCUGGAGAGUGACAACCUGGAGUACCCUGGCCUUUUUUUCAUGUUAACAGGAUAAGUGAGGUAUGAUGAUAGAUAGAGGGAUAAACAAGGGAGUCAGGGGGAAAUACACACUUCCUGCUUAAGAGGCUUGCUAAUGAAAUGUAUGAUUGGGUUUUGGCUUGGGAUAGGUUGAGAUGCUUUCUGGAUGUGAAAAGAACUUAACUUGGUUUGAAAGAGAUCUUCUAAGCUGGCUGGUCUGGGGUACAACAGCCAGAAAAUCCAUGACCAGAUCAUCAGCUUAUACUUCUAGCUCCACUUGUUGGUAAUUAGUAAUGAAAAUGCCCAGUUUUUCUAGAAAUUAGUUCAGGUCCUGUCAAGAUGGAGCCCAGGAACUGUGAACAUGAGGAAGGGCAAAAACAUAACAGAGGCCUAGAAUGGCAUAUGAGUAUUUAGAACUUUUUUUUUUAAGGAUGACAUCCCCAAGCAUCUUCUGACAGUAUACUCUAGAUAUAAUACAGUCUUGGGACCCUUGGGGUCAAGUAAUUCUGAUAUCUGUGUGGAAUCCCUUGUGUCAUUGAACCUGAAACUUGUAUAAAUAAUUCACAUGAAGGUACCACAUCAUCUCCUACCCCCAAUGCAUUACCCUUAAAUUGUAAAAGUUCUGCAAUCUUUAAAAAAAUCAUAUGCCAGCCAGACCAAAGUUGAUCUAUAAGACUGAGACCUCGAAACCCAAUUCUUCCAUCUUCUUUGCAACCUGAAAGAUGCAGAACCUAUUGUUGAGCCAUCUUAGGUAGGUCCCUGUGUUUUGUCCUACUUUCUAGAUAUCGAUGAGCUGCUUGUUCCUGCUGGAACAUGGGUUUCUCUGAUGGCCGAUUUGCUCUUGGUGGGUGCAUUUGGUCUUAGCAUGGGAGUGGGGAGAGAUUAUAGCUUCAAGGUGUUAUGGCAGGUGUCCCUGGGCCCAAGAACAGAGGCAUCUUGCAAUAAUGUUAUAGUUACAUUACCAGAUGAUGGUACUUUAAUAUAAAAUGUUAGUUAUAACAGUAGAUAGAAGCAGAUCUUGCAGUGGGACCCCACAGGAAAAGGUUAGUUAUAACAUUGCAACUAAAUAUAUUUUCAGUGGUGCCCCGUAGUAAUAUGCCAUAGUUCUGCCUUGAGGUGGUACCAUGUUGUAAUGCUCUACUGUAUCUUGUAAUAAUGUGCUGUAGUCACAUGUUUUGCGUACACUGGUGGAGUCUGGGAGAGAAGGAGAAAGCAAAAGAGGUCAUUAGGUUUUCCUGCUUCAUUCUGGUGCCAGUCACCUAUACCACCCUCACCAUUUUUGCCAGAUUUACAUAGAACUUGGCCUUGUUCACGUGCAUAUGUUAUUGAAGAGCUUAUAGUCUACAGAGUCAAAGUAACAGCACAGGGACACCUGCCUAGCAGGUGCCCCAAGGUUGAAAUUAAGUGCAAGAACUUUGAAUCAUAGUGUCUAAGGCAUUAAAUAUUUUUUGAUGAAAGUCCUGUAUGAAGUGAAAAAAUCAUGACUGAAGUUACACCUCACAGCAGCUUUUGUGAGUUAUGUCAGGUGACAGGGCCACUUGGAGGGACCUGGAAAAUAAAGGGCUGGAUAGUACAUGUUUUAAUUUUUGC
Vulpes vulpes (red fox) is the source of this 2077-nucleotide long non-coding RNA. Lineage: Eukaryota; Metazoa; Chordata; Mammalia; Carnivora; Canidae. The record is from Ensembl.